Molecule: long non-coding RNA, 1888 nt
Organism: Lolium rigidum
Lineage: Eukaryota; Viridiplantae; Streptophyta; Magnoliopsida; Poales; Poaceae
Exons: 2
Source: RefSeq, a predicted model, not a curated record
CCAGCUAUACAGCUACCUUAGUUAUCCUACUGUCUUUAACCUGCCACUGUGAUAUACUUUCAGGGUGUUGUAGUAUAUGAUGCAGUACAUUAAUGCCUUAGGCAGUAAAUCAUUGGUUUAGGUAUGAUAACCUCACAUGCAUACAAUGAUUUUUCCACUAACAUGAUAUGAAUGGUUUGGUUCAUGUAGUCAAUGUUACACCUCUUUCAGGGCAGCUGAAUAGGAAAGAUUUCACAUUUACAUCACGUAUCGGAGGUACAUUGUUCUGGCAAUUAGUGGUUUCCAAAACAUGUCAUGGUUACAUAUUUAUCAAGUACAGUGCUUUAUGCAAGAAAGCAACCAUCGUUGCAUGGGGUGAGCAUGCCAGUGCGCUGUUGGCGUACAGGCAAUCUAUAUAUUGAAGUACUUCAAAAUAAACUUGGUGCACAUCACAUUAUGUUUCCUAAGUAGUUUUACAACUUAAACACUGAACUGCCAUUUUUAUCUAACUUUGAACCGCAAGAGCAUCAGCAACUUAGAUCUCCUUCUCUCUCAUCUAUGCAUGUAAAUGGUGUUCUUCUCUUUUUUAUUUUACUCUGCCUACAACUGAACCAUCUAUGUACUGUGAGGUCCCUUUCCCAUGGAUGACAUAACUCAAUUGUGCAUCUGCGGAGUCUCUGCUUUCUUGACUAUUCCAGGAAUGAUACACACUGAGUAAUAGAGAUAUGGCAGGUAUGUUGAUUAAUUCCUGCAAUCAGGGUCAUGUCAAAUAUUCACAGCUGGCAAGUGAAGUAUAGGGACAAAACGGCUUAUACCAGCUAGCCACCCUUCUAUAUAUAUGGUUGUUUUGGUAUUUUUCUAAUACACUGAUUUUAUCUAUAGAUAAUGUUAAUCAUAUUUUUGGUUGUUCAGGGACAGUAAAAAUUGAGUGUAUGCACAACCUACCAUUUCCCCCCCAUCUUUAGUAUUUAAUUUAGUGGCCGACCCUUAGUUGAUCCUCCAUAUCGUGUUUAUGUGAUGCUGAGGACAGAGGUAGAUAAUUACUUAAGCGAUCUGUGACCACUGAUCUACCUGAUGAUCCUGCAAGAAGCCACAUGCCCACUCAAGACAUCCUUGAACCAAUCAACCCAGACCUAGGCUGAGGUACACUCCCACACUGACACUUCUCAUACUGCUUAUAGCUAAUCCAGCUUCAAUAGACCAUCCCCCACCUCAUAUUUUUUGUAUACAUGGAAACAAACAUGGCAACCGACAGCAAAAUAAGGUAAAAUACAUGGCGCGAUCAACUGGAUCGGUGAAAAGAAGGCAUACAUUUACAAAUUAUGUAUGAUUGCACCAGUGUCUGAAUCCAUAUAUUCGUUGUUCGCAAUGCAGGCUGCGAGAAGAGAAGAAAUAGACCAAAGAAUUGCUCCCAGAUAAAUAAGCCAUCGCCCUUAUCCAGGUAUGGAAGUUAAUAAAGGCCAUGGGACUGCAAGAACUAGCCAUCCAGAGAACCUGUAUUGAAGAAGUCAUUUUCUCUGCAAUGGCCCAGCCGCAACACAAAUGCAGGAUAUGAGCCACCCUUCCAGCAGCUCUACAACAGAGUGAACAGACCAUUGGGCUACUCGCUACUGUAAUAUUGAGUACCUCAAGUGGCAUGUAUAAUUGCAGAUCCCUCUCUUAGUUUUACCAUCACACCUGCUAGACUAAGCCAUCAUUCUCUCCUCCAACGAUAGAAGUGACUACUGAUGUCUUAGAAAGUGGCAAAGCUAUACAUAUUACCAUCUUACUUUACUGAAUCCUUCAUGUUUUGGCUAUCAAGAGUAUGUUCUGCUUUGGGGCAAGUAUCUAUGGUUUGUCGUGCUCUCUUUGUGUAGGCCAAGUCGAUGAACCAUGUAAUAAAAUUAUUAUAAACAUUGUUGGUUGCUCC